This 10260-nucleotide long non-coding RNA is filed under the name Homo sapiens (human). RNAcentral's name for it is "HSALNT0244977". Lineage: Eukaryota; Metazoa; Chordata; Mammalia; Primates; Hominidae. The record is from RNAcentral.
AUUUUUAGUAGAGACAGGGUUUCACCAUGUUAGCCAGGAUGGUCUUGAUCUCCUGACCUCGUCAUCCGCCCGACUCAGCCUCUCAAAGUGCUGGGAUUACAGGCGUGAGCCACUGCGCCUGGCCGCUGACUUAGCGCUGUCUUUGCUCUCUCCUUUUGGUGAGGCUUUCAAUUCCAUGUUCUCAUUUGACGGCUCCCACUCCUGGAUGUGUUUUCUGCAGACAAAGAGACAGUUGCUCCUUGUCUUAGUCAGCUCGGGCUGCUGUAACAAAAUACUGUAGAGAGUGAUUUAAGCAACAGAUGUUUGGCUGGGCGAGGUGGCUCACACCUGUAAUCCCAGCACUUUGGGAGGCUGGGGCAGGUGGAUCACCUGAGAUCAGGAGUUCGAGACCAGCCCAGCCAACAUGGCAAAACCCGCAUCUCUACUAAAAAUACAAAAAUUAGCCGGGCAUAUUGUCACAUGUCUGUAAUCCCACCUACUUGGGAGGCUGAGGCAGGAGAAUCACUCGAACCCGGGAGGCGGAGGUUGCAGUGAGAUGAGAUGGUGCCAUUGCAUUCCAGCCUGGGCAACAGAGCGAAACUCCAAAAAAAAAAAAAAAAAAAAAAAAAGCAACAGACCCUUAUUUCUCUUAGUUCUAGGAAGUCCAAGAUCAAGGUGCUGGCAGAUUUUGUUCCCAGGGAGGGCUCUCUUACUGGCUGGCAGAUGGCCACCUUCUUGCUGUGUCUUUACAAGGCGAGGAGAGAGAGACUGAACGCUGGCCUCAUUCUCUUCUUACAAAGACACUGAUUCCAUCAUGGCGUCUCCACCCUCAGGACCUCACCUAAACCUAAUCACUUCCCAAAGACCUCCAAGUCCUAAUACCAUCACAUUGGGAUUAAGGGUUCUGUGUGUGAGUUUUGAGAGGACACAAACAUUUGGUCCAUAACACUCGCUUCACAACAGCUUGCCAUUUCCAUUUGAAUCAGCUUCCAUGUAUCUGAGAUCAAACUCAAACUCCCCCAAAUCCAUUCUUCCCUCAGUCUUUCCUGCUCAGAAAAAGUGAAACUGCCCAGACACUCAGGCCAAAAGCUAGGUGAAUCUUUGGUUCUCUAAACAUGCUUGUCCCCGCCAUUCACCUCCCGGACUCCUCAUCCUCUGAGUCUGAUUUAAAUGCCACUUCUUCAGGGAGCACCUACCCCCCAUGACCUGUGAGACAGGGUCUCACUCUGUACCCCAGGCUGGAGUACAGUGGUACAAUCAUGGCUCACUGCAGCCUCAACUUCUGGGCUCAAGUGAUCCUCCCACCUCAGCCUCCUAAGUAGCUGGGGCUGCAGGAAUGCACCACCACGCCCAGCUAGCUUAUUUUUUGCAGAAAUGGAGUCUCAUUAUGUUGCCCAAACUCCUGGGCUCAAGCAAUCCUCCUACCUUGGCCUCCCAAGAUGCUGGCAUUACAGGCGUGAGCCACCACACCCAGCCCCCAGUGACCUUAUCCAAAGUGAGGCCCCGGGUUAUUCUCCCUCUGAGCGUUAGUCUCCCUCCCAGCAUCUAGAUGUGUGUUUCCUUCAAAUCAGUACCAUGUUUGCUGCUUUUACUUAUCUUCUUGCUUGUUGAGUGUCUGUUUCCCAAGCCCUCCAACCCAAACCCUUAAGGCCAAGGCCCAUCCGGGUGACUUCGGCAACAGUUCAGUAGACACAGUGCCAGGGCCCUCUGCCCUUUUAGGGGCCCACAAACGUGUUCUAAUUUAUUUGAAAAUCAGAAGAAAAUAGCCGGGCGUGGUGGCUCACACCUGCAAUCCCAGCACUCUGGGAGGCCAAGGCGGGCAGAUGACGAGGUCGGGAGUUCGAGACCAGCCUGACCAACAUGGUGAAACCCUGUCUCUACUAAAAUACAAAAAUUAGCCCUGCAUGGUGGGGCGCACCUGUAAUCCCAGCUACUCGGGAGGCUGAGGCAGGAGAAUUGCUUGAACCCAGGAGACAGAGGUUGCAGUGAGCCAAGAUUGCACCACUGCACUCCAGCCUGGGCAACAGAGCGAGACUCCCUCUAAAAAAAAAAAAAAAAACAACAAACAGAAGAAAAUAUGCAAACCUGUAGGUUUAUAGCAGCAGAGUCAUAAAUAUAAUUUUCACAAUUUUUAUGGAGGAAGGGGUCCACACAACUUACAGUGCCACCCUGGGACUGUGUUGGCUUUGCCUACUGUUAUACCUCCCAACACAUCCCAGAGUACUUGGAGCAUGGCAGGGGCUCAGUACAUAUCUGAUGAAUAAAGGAAUCUGCACUAUAGUUUUCUUUUUUUCAGAGAAUACAACAGCAAACUCUCUGCAGUCAGCCCAGAUUUGGUGGAGGGUUGGGGAAGAACCACGGUUGUGAGAAAUGAUAUUGAUGCAGGAUUGUCUUCAAGUCAGCCAGGAGAUGACACAGUCCUCUCACUACUCUAGAUCUGCAAGGAGAAGCCCUCUGGCCCAUGCCACCUUCUCAAUACAAUCCUCGAUCUGACUUCAGGAUGAAAAAUUAGAAAGCUGCCUUGGUACAGCCACUUCUCAAGUAUACCCAUGUAGAAACAUUUUACUGGCUAAUAGGAAGUAUCAAUUUUCUCAAUCAAGCAGGCAAUUAAAAAAUGUAAGUAUAUACAUUUUUCCUCAAGGGACUGCAUAAAUUUUUUUUUUUUUUUUUUUUUUUUUUUGCUUUGAAGAAAAGAAUGUGACCUAAAAACUAUUUUUGUUUUUUUUUUUUUUUGAGAUAGAGUCUCACUCUGCUGCCCAGGCUGGAGUGCAGUAGCACGACCUCGGCUCACUGCAACCUCUGCCUCCCGGGUUCAAGCGAUUCUCCUGCCUCAGCCUCAUGAGUAGCUGGGAUUACAGGCGCACACCACCACUUCCGGCGAAUUUUUGUAUUUUCAGUAGAGACGGGGUUUCGCCAUGUUGGUCAGGCUGGUCUCAAACUCCCUGUGAUCCGCCUGCCUCAGCCUCCCAAAGUGCUGGGAUUGCAAGCAUGAGCCACCAUGCCCGGCCCUGAAAACACUUUUAUUUGUCUUAAAUUGGUCUUUAUAUUUUGCCAUUACUUUUAACGACAAAAAAUGCAAUUACAUCUUUUUUUUUUCUUUUUUUUUGAGACAGAUCCUGGAGUGCAGUGGCAUGAUCUUGGCUCAUUGCAACUUCCGCCUCCCGGGUUCAAGCAACUCUCCUGCAUCAGCCUCCCAAGUAGCUGUGGUUAUAGGCUUGCGCCACCACGCCCAGCUAAUUUUUGUAUUUUUAGCAGAGACAGGGUUUUGCCAUGUUGGCCAGGCUGGUCUCGAACUCUUGACCUCAAAUGAUCCGCCCUCCUUGGCCUCCCAAAGUGCUGGGAUUACAGGCGUAAGCCACCGUACCCAACCCUCAAUUACUUUUGCACCAACCUUUUAAGAAAGUGGCUCACUCCUCCUUUAUGAGCAGUGGUUUUCAGCCCCUAAUAGGGCAUUUGGCAAUGUCAGGGGACUUUUUUUUUUGAGACAGGGUCUCACCCUGUUGCCCAGGCUGGAGUGCAUGGUGUGAUCACGGCUCACUGCGGCCUCAACCUCCUGGGCUCAAGCCAUCCUCCCACCUCAGCCUCCCCAGUAGCUGGGAGCACUAGGUGGACACAACCACACCUGGCUAAUUUUUUAUAUGUUUUGUAGAGAUCUGGUUUCACCAUGUUGGCCAGGUCUUGAACUCCUGGUCUUGAACUCCUGGGCUCAAGUGAUCCAACUGCCUCGGCCUCCCAAAGUGCUGGGAUUACAGGCAUGAGCCACCGAGCCCGGUCUGAGGACAUUUUCCACUGUCACAAUUUGAGGGAGUGCUUGGCAUCUACCAGGCGGAGGCCAGGGAUGCUGCAAACACACUACAGUGCGCAGGUCAGUCCCCAGUAACAAUGAAUGAGCCAGCCCCAAAUAUCAAUAGUGUUGGGUUGAGAAACCCUCCUCUGGGAGGAUCUAAAUUGUGCCUCUUGGAUCAUGUGGGUCUGGCCCUCCAUAGAGUGGGUUUUACUGAUCUGUGCCUUGGUAUCAAACCCUCAAUUUAUCCUGAGUAACUCUGUAGAAAGCAGCUGAUAGGGUUUGUGUGACUGUAUCUGUGUCUUACUUAGUCCAUUUGGAGUGCUAUAAACAAUAUUCCACAAUCUGGGUGGCUUAUAAACAACAAAAAUUUGCCAGGCACGGUGGCUCACACCUGUAAUCCCAGCACUUUGGAAGGCCGAGGCAGGCAGAUCACUUGAGGUCAGGAGUUUGAGACCCACCCAGCCAACACAGUGAAACCCUGUCUCUACCAAAAAAUACAAAACAUAGCCAGGUGUGGUGGCGUGAGCCUGUAGUCCCAGCUACUCGCGAGGCUGAGGCAGGAGAAUCACUUGAAUCCGGGAGGUGGAGGUUGCAGUGAGCCGAGAUCACGCCACUGCACUCCAGCCUGGGAGACGGAGCAAGACUGAGUGACCCUGUCUCUAAAACAAAAAAGGACUGUCGUUGACGGUGUUGCUUGGGACACUACCCGUCAUCCCUUCAAAGGUCCCACGAGAAUUCCUCUCAGACUUUAGUGUCAGAAAUAGCUGCGCUGCUUCUAGGUUGAGUGUUUUAUUUUGCUUUUUAAUUGAGUCAGAAUCCUGCUCUGUUGCCCAGGUUGGAGUGCAGUGGCACAAUCUCGGCUCACUGCAACCUCCACCUCCCAGGCUUAGGUGAGUCCCCUGCCUCAGUCUCCCUAGUAGCUGGGAUUACAGGUGUCUGCCACCACGCCCAGCUAAUUUUAAGCGGAGUUUCACCAUGUUGACCAGGCUGGUCUCGAACUCCUGGCCUCAUGUGAUCCACCCGCCUUGGUCUCCCAAAGUGCUAGGAUUACAGGCAUGAGCCACUGCACCCGGCCAGGGUUGGUUUUAAUCUUGUGGACUUUGUGAGUCUCAAAACCGGCAGAUUUCCCUCUUUGUUUUGACUGAUACGAAGCUCAGAAUCCUGUUUGCAGUCCACCUUUGAGGAUUGUGGAGCCCCAGCCAAAGAACAUUUCUGUGUCCUACCCUCUUGGUUCAUUGUACCAUGUGUUCCAGUGUUGUUUUCUCUCUGAUCUAUUUUUAUCCUAUUGUAUUUUAUGAAUUUUUGUAAGCUGCCUCUAAUCCUUUUUGGAAGAAAGCAGGGCAGAAGAAGAAAACAAGAUUCAUCAGAACCCUGUGGCCUUGACAAGUGUGUUUUAACAUGCCAAGUGUCAUUUAGGGUUGGAUUCUGGCCAGGGAAGGCAGCUAUCCUUGGCUCCUCCUAUCUCUCCUGGGAGUCUCUGUGGAGAACAGCAGCUCAGUAGGUUAGAGCAACAGGUUUUAGAGGUAGAGCCAGUAUCCAUCUGCCUGCAAGCACCACUCCCUCCCACCAAAAUAUUCUUCCCAGUCUCCCAUCUGUCUGUUGGCAGGAAGCCACGGGGCCUAGAGGAGAUCGGAAAGGGGAAGAAUAAAGAUAAGGUCUCCCAUUUUCAUUCCUAACUUUUAUUUCUGGCAUCUUAAAUCAGGGCCCUCAGGGCUCAGGGAAAGAUCGUGUACGUGUUAAGUGCUGCGGGUGAAGGGUGGCCAGGAAGGGCACCUGCCCAAGUGUGGAGGGAGUGGGGGCCUUGGGGAGUCUGUCAUAUGAGGGUCGAGGGGAGCCAGGCAGGGGUGGGGAGUGCCACACACACCUGGAAAGUCCCACCCCUCCAUCUCGCCCUGCGUUCAGGGAUCUUCCAGCCACCCCUGCAGCUAUACCACUCCCAGCUCUGCACGCAGUCUGCUGCUCACGCCAUCCCUCAACCUGUCCCUCACCUCCCAGGCUGCAGCACCCAGGCCAGCCCAGAGAAUUCCACCUGCUCUGCUCUGCUCUGCUCUACUCGUGGGACUUUAGCUAAUCUCUUGUCCUCCCAGCCUCAGUCUUCCUAUCUCUAAAAUGAGCAGGGGCCAGGCACAAUGGUUCAUGCCUGUAAUCUCAGCACUUUGGGAGGCCAAGGCAGGCGGAUCACUUGAGGUCAGGAGUUCAAGACCAGCCUGGCUAACACGGUGAAACCCCAUAUCUACUAAAAAUACAAAUAUUAGCCGGGUGUGGUGGCAGGCACCUGUAGUCCCAGCUACUCGGGAGGCUGAGGCAGGAGAAUCGCUUGAACCUGAAAGGGAGAGGUUGCAGUGAGCCGAGAUCAUGCCACUGCACUCCAGCCUGGGUGAUAGAGCAAGACUCCGUCUAAAUAAAAUAAAAUAAAUAAAUAAAGUAAAAUAAAAUGAGCAGGGAGAGGAAACUAGAUCCUAAACUUUGAGGAUCCUGAGAAUCCCUUGCUGCCUUCAUGUGUCCUGACAGCCUCUGUCCCUUUGUUCUACUUUCUUCUGGGAAUGUGGUGCCACCUUGGUGGAGAGAGGAGGAGUGGCUGGGCGUGUGUAACUCUGGGGUCAAAGAUGGACACCACGCAGGAGUAGCCUGGAUGCCAGCAGGAGCACAGGCCCGAGGCUGCAGGCUUGAGAGGCAAGGGGCCCAACCCAGAGCCCUGGUCCUGCCCAGCAGAGCCAGAGGCCAGGCAGAGCAACCCUGAGAAGGGCAGGGCCUUGGCCGCCUGGUGGGCAGAGGUGACCUAUGGGAAGCAGCAGCUGCCGCUGAAGGGGGCUGGAGCAGCCAGUGCCUCCCUGACACUUCCCUUGGGCACACAGAACCGUGGGAGAUGGGCAUGCCCCACUCUGAGAGGCUGAUAGCCCCGUCUCUGUGCUGCUUGGCCAAGCCAGGCCACCGGCCCCACCUUGUCAUUCCAUGUCCAGCUCCUCUGUUUCCUAGACCUGUGGGGUGGGCUGGUUCUUUCACCUCUAGCUGCUUCCCCUGUAAAAUGGGGGUGAUAUGAAUGGCAUGGACCUCACGGAAUUGUUAUGAGAAUGAACUGAGGCCAAUGCAAAGAACAAUGCCUAGCAUAUGGCGGUCAUAGCUGCUAAGACAUAUGGCCCGUAUCACAGCGGUGCAGAGCGGCGUGUGCCCAGUAAACGGGCGCACAGCCCUAUCCACAUGGGGGACGUGGAGGGAGAUGCUCUGGACCCGCUGGGGCAGGUGGCGGGGCUGGUGCCAGGACAUCAUCGGGCCAGAAGGCUUUGGGUCCCAUCCCAUUUUGGAAAAUGGUGACUGAGAUCUGAAUUUAAAUGACCAAAUUAUUACCCAGAAGUAGUUCCUGGUUCCUUUAGACAGAAAGGGCCCACAGAACAUCUUUAAAGCAAGAAGUGCCCUGCGGGGCCCUAGGUUUCUCAGGUGAACCUCAGAGACCAACGGGGAAAGAGUAAGGACCCCCCAAAUCCAACCCCACCCAGGGAAGCUCUGGCUCAGCCUCCAUAGAGGUUCAAAGUAUGACCUCAUAUGAGGCCAGGUGUGGUGGCUUGCGUCAGUAAUCCCAGAGUUUUGGGAGGAGGCCAAGGUGGGAGGAUUGCUUGAAGCUAGGAUUUUGAGACCAGCCUGGGCAACAUAAGACCUCAUCUCAUAAAUAAAUAUAUAAAUGAAUAAUCAAUCAAUUAUAAAAGGCUGGGUGCAGUGGCUCGCACCUGUAAUCCCAGCAUUUUGGGAGGCCGAGGUGGGCGGAUCACCUGGUCAGGAGUUUGAGAUCAGCCUGGCCAACAUGAUGAAACCCCGUCUCUACUAAAAAUACAAACAAAAAUUAGCCGGGUGUGGUGGCGUGCACCUGUAAUCCCAGCUACCCAGGAGGCUGAGGCAGGAGAAUUGCUUGAACCCGGGAGGUGGAGGCUGCAGUGAGCCAAGAUUGCACCACUGCACUCCAGCCUGGGCAACAGAGCGAGACUCCGUUCUCGGAAAAGAAAAAAAAAAAUCAAUUAAAAAAAAUAGCAUGACCUCAUUGCAAACAAAGCUUCUGGUAAAAAGUUGAAAACAACUGAGCUACUGCCUAAUUUUAAAGAUGGAGAAACUGAAGCCAAUUGGAGCGAGAAAAUAACUGGCCCAAGGCUACCCAGCAAAUCUUUUUUAAAAAAUUUAUUUAUUGGCUGGCUGCGGUGGCUCAUGGCUGUAAUCCCAGCCCUUUGGGAGGCCGAGGUGUGUGGAUCAUGAGGUCAGGCGUUCGAGACCAGCCUGGCCAAGAUAGUGAAACCCCGUCUCUACUAAAAUUACAAAAAAUUAGCUGGGCCUGGUGGUGGGCGCCUAUAAUCCCAGCUACUCGGGAGGCUGAGGCAGGAGAAUUGCUUGAACCUGGGAGGCGGAGGUUACAGUGAGCUGAGAUCGUGACACUGCACUCCAGCCCAGGCGACAGUGCGAGAUUCCAUCUCAAAAAAAAAAAAUUAUUUUUUGGUAGACAUGUUGUCUCGCUGUUACCCAAGUUGAUCUCAAACUCUUGGUCUCAAGGGAUCCUCCUGCCUCAGCCUCCCAAAGUGCUAGGAUUACAGGUGUGAGCCACGGCGCCUGGCUCCCAGCAAAUCUUAACAGAGCUCUGUGGCCUGGCUGGUUCUGCGUGUUCAUCUCAUCCUUGUCUCCUGGGUCCACUGAACCCCCAGCCAGAAGGUAUGCUCCUUAAAGCUGUGAAUCAAGCCAGGUACAGUCAUUUCUCUCUCUUGGGAGGUUGCACUGUGUCUGGGAGGCACAGCCCCUUCUCAUCUGCCUGGUCCUCGCCUGAACAGUACCUUCCUCUCCCCAGUCAUCCCUGAGCUAGACUGUAGCCCCUAGGGACCCGUCUCCCAAUGGGCCCCAGCUCUCCUCCCUCUCUCUUCUUCCCUUGGGGCAGCCAGAAGUCCCCGCUCAUAACUCCCACACGAAUGAGCCUGUCUAGGGACAGAGGGAGGGACCUGAGUGACAUUUUAAUUAUGCCUCUAAUUGCUUUCCAGGGAGAUGAGUGGGGAACUCACAUUUCUCUGUGGGUGCUCAGGGGAGAGUGCAGGGUUUCCACCAGGAACUCAGCCACAUUGAGAUCCCCAAGAUUUCCCCAGAUUUCCUGAGAGCAAGCGGGGGCUUCAACAAGCAGUGAGCCAGCCCUACGCAGACCAGGGCUCCCUUCUGAAGCUGUCCAGAAAGAGGGGAACAUGAUUCAAGGGAAGGAGGUGGUAGGGCAGGGGCAGGGCAGUGGGUUCAGGGGCCACUAGACCCUCACCCCCUGACUUUAUAUCCCGAGGUUUUGAUGUGCCCAGGAGUGGUGGGGUGAGAAGGGCAGGAGUUUUGAAUGAAUUCUGGGCAUUAGAGAAGGCGGCCUCGAGGCUUAUCUGAUCAUCUUUCUCCAUCUGGAAAAUGGGGAUGUGGAGCUUCUAUCUCCCUGAGAAGUGAGGUUGAACUGAGGACCUGCCACUUGUAAGCUGAUUUUCCAGGCUUAACGGUAAAAGGGGAAAGAGGAGGUGGUAGCCCCGCUCCCAGCAUCAUGCAGAAACUGCCUUCAGGGCCAGCCACUUUCUGGUGGUGACAGUUCCGUGCACCAGGACACCAGGGGGCUGGGGAGAACACAGUCACUCUCAUCCUAAUCACAACUGUAUAAAAAGCCCAUGUCGACCGGCACGGUGGCUCACACCUGUAAUCCCAGCAUUUUGGGAAGCCAAGGUGGGCGGAUCACUUGAGGUCAGGAGUUGGAGACCAACCUGGCCAACAUGGUGAAACCCAGUAUCUACUAAAAAUACAAAAAUUAGCUGGGUGUAGUGGCGCACGCCUGUAAUCCUAGCUAGUUGGGAGGCUGAGGCAGGAGAAUCGCUUGCACCUAGGAAGCGGAGGUUGCAGUGAGCUGAGAUCACACCCCUGCACUCCAACCUGGGCGACAGAGUGAGACUCCAUCUCAAAAAAAACAAAACAACAACAACAAAAAAAAAAAACAAAAAAAAACAAAAAACCAACCCCCUCCCCCACAAAAAGCCCAUGUCACUGUUUCUGUGCCUCAACCCUCUAAGAGUGGCAGGAUACCCAUUUUACAGAGCAGGAGAGGGAGGCACAGAACAGCUAAGCGACCAAGUGCCAAGGGCUUCCAAGAGAUGGCAGUUAGGGACACCUGAGUCCCCAGACUCUGAAGGGGCCUGCCCAGGCAGACAGCAUCGCAGGAAGGGCGGGUCCUCACGGACAGAGAGACAGAAGCCACCUCAGGCCCCCCUGGACAGCUCUAGGACCUGGGUCCAGACCCCACCCCCAUCCUGAAAUAGCCCUCCCAAAAAGCAGAGACAGACACCAGGCGUGCUUUAGGGCUUUUUUUUUAAUGUUUCCUCACUGUUUUGACAAUAUCAUGAAAAAAAUCAGUUUAGAAUCUGGAAUUGGCCUGGACGGGAUUCGAGGGCAGCUGGCGGGGGCUGCAUAGCCCCUGAGCUUCUGCUCAAUCCCCUCGGGGACAGUUACAGGACUCAGAG